Equus caballus (horse) is the source of this 2054-nucleotide long non-coding RNA. The record is from Ensembl. NCBI's taxonomy places the organism in Eukaryota, Metazoa, Chordata, Mammalia, Perissodactyla, Equidae.
AAAGCAAAUCAGGGCUGUGUGUGUUUCAUUUUCCUUUUGUAUCGAUUUCUAACUGAGACAACUAGAGAGCUGCGUGAAAAGAAUAAAGUUGAAGUCUGUUAUGGACUGAAGGUUUGUGGCCCCCAAAUCCAUAUGUUGAAACCCUACUCCCCAAAGGGAUGGCAUUAGGAGGUGGGGCCUCUGGGAGGUGAUUAGGGUCAGAUGAGGUCAUGAAGGUGGGGCCCUCAGGAAUGGGAUUAGCGCCCUUAUGAGAGUCCAAAGAAAGCCUGCUUCCUUUCUGUUCCCUGCCACGUGAGGAUACAACAGACGUCAGCAGGUUGCAAGCCAGGACGAACGCCCCUGCCAGAUUUGAUCCUGCUGGCACCCUGAGCCCCGACUUCCAGCCUCCAGAACCGCAGAGAAGCUGCUGUUGUUUCAGCUGUGCAGCCUGUCGUCCUUGUCACAGCUGCCUGAACUGAGGCAGACGCCUAAGUCACAGCACACACCAGACUGAGCUCCGAUGGAUCCAAACCUAAAUGGGAGAAGGAACAGUUUGGAGAAAGGACCUGAAUCUUCUGCUAACAAGACAUUCUCUCUGUUGGUUCCUGACGGACUGCUGCUGAGUUGCCCGCGUGCGGUUCUAAGUGUUUUUCCAAGGCUGGCAGCAAGACUGUGAAAAUAGGACGACGUGGGUUCUGGACAUGGAGGCUCUCAUGCUCAUUUGGUCUCAUUGUGAUUUAUAGAAAAUAUGUAUUUGGUCUUUGUCUGGUUCUUGGCACAGAGCUCCCCAAACCCUUGGAAUUUCCUACGUGGUGAUUAGAGCUAUAAAGGUAUCUUUUGUUAUUCCUAACAAGACCUGUGCAACCACACCUGCAUUUAUGUUAAUGAGGUGACUUUUGGCGAGCCCUUAGGUCACCUAAGGAAGGGGCUGCUUGCCUGGAGCGGACCAUGUGAUUAGAGGUUUGGAGCUUUCAGCGUCACCGCCCACCCCACCUUGGAGAGGGGUGAGGGGCUGGGGAUUGGCCAGUGGCCAGUGAUUUAAUCAAUCAUGCCUAUGUAAUGAAGCCUCCAUAAAAUCCAAAAAGGAUGGAUUCAGAGAGCUCCCAGGUUGGUGAACACAUGCAAGUGCUGAGUGACUGGUGCGCAGAGGGCAUGGCAGCGUUACCAGCUCUUAGUCAAUAUCAGCCCUGAUAUUGGUUCCCCAGUAGUGAACCCAGCAUAUAUGGGGUUAAAACCAAAAGCACUCAUCUCCCUUGUCUGCUUCUUUAGUUACACUCCUAUGUAAAUAUCUGUUUCUUUAACCUCUGACCCCCUGAGCUUUCCCAAAUAGAAGUUACAAACCGUUAAAGUCCAAAUGGCCUCCAGCUGGGCUCCCACUAAAGCUGCAGCUAUCACAGGAUCUUGAAGUUCUUUUACAGAGAAAUGUAUGUCCAGAGACUAUCAGGAAACCAAGGCUUCCCAGGCCCGACUCCUCGGCUUCCUGACGUCAGAGUCUCCCUUCCACCAUGGAGAUAAACAGCUAAGGGCACUCGUCUGAGAAAUCCUUUGUCUCCUCUGCUGGAAGCAGCCCCAGACACAGGCUGAUGGGAAAAUGCUGACCAAGAAGGUCGCGGCCCUCCCCUACCUAAAACCCCAAAUAAAAUCCCCUACCUGUUUCUUAACGGGGAGCUAGCAGUAUUUGAGGCACAAGGCCUUGCUUUGCCCCCCUUGCCUGGCAAAGAAAACAAAGCCUUUCCUUUUCCACUCAAAACUCUGUUUCCCUUGCUGGAUUGGCAUCAGGUUCAGAAGCUCUGAGCUCCUUCCCACAUACCUUGCCUCUUCAGCUGGUCGUUCAUCUGUAUCCUAUAUAAUAUCCCUUUGAACUGACUGGUAAAUGUAAGUAAAUAUGUCUCUGAGUUCUGUGAGCCGCUCUAGCAAAUUAAUCGAACCCAAGGAGGGGGUUGUGGGAACCUCUGAUUUAUAGCUGUUUGGUCAGAAGCACAAGUGACAACCUAGGCUUGCAAUUGGCAUCCGAAGUAGCGGCAGUCUUGCAGGACUGAGCCCUUAACCUGUGGGAUCUGACACUCUCUCCAGGU